RNAcentral lists this ribosomal RNA (253 nucleotides) under uncultured bacterium. Its description in RNAcentral is "partial 16S ribosomal RNA". It matches the Rfam family "Bacterial small subunit ribosomal RNA", at positions 524 to 776 of the family's 1533-position model. The record is from RNAcentral.
UACGAACUGUGCGAAUGUUAUUCGGAAUCACUGGGCUUAAAGGGUGCGUAGGCGGCGCUCCAAGUCAGGUGUGAAAUCCCCCGGCUCAACCGGGGAACAGCGCUUGAAACUAGAGUGCUCGAGCGAGGCAGGGGUGUGUGGAACUUCCGGUGGAGCGGUGAAAUGUGUAGAGAUCGGAAGGAACGCCGGCGGCGAAAGCGGCACACUGGGUCUUGACUGACGCUGAGGCACGAAAGCCAGGGGAGUGAACGGG